AGAGUUUGAUCCUGGCUCAGGAUGAACGCUGGCGGCGUGCUUAACACAUGCAAGUCGAACGGUGAAAGAGAGCUUGCUCUCUGGAUCAGUGGCGAACGGGUGAGUAACACGUGAGCAAUCUGCCCCUGACUCUGGGAUAACAGCUGGAAACAGCUGCUAAUACCGGAUACGAGUUGCGAAGGCAUCUUCAGCAGCUGGAAAGAAUUUCGGUCAGGGAUGAGCUCGCGGCCUAUCAGCUUGUUGGUGAGGUAAUGGCUCACCAAGGCGUCGACGGGUAGCCGGCCUGAGAGGGUGACCGGCCACACUGGGACUGAGACACGGCCCAGACUCCUACGGGAGGCAGCAGUGGGGAAUAUUGCACAAUGGGCGAAAGCCUGAUGCAGCAACGCCGCGUGAGGGACGACGGCCUUCGGGUUGUAAACCUCUUUUAGCAAGGAAGAAGCGAAAGUGACGGUACUGCA
Molecule: ribosomal RNA, 461 nt
Filed under: Microbacterium sp. EX72
Lineage: Bacteria; Bacillati; Actinomycetota; Actinomycetes; Micrococcales; Microbacteriaceae
Description: bacterial SSU rRNA
Rfam family: Bacterial small subunit ribosomal RNA
Source: RNAcentral